This 3037-nucleotide long non-coding RNA is filed under the name Homo sapiens (human). RNAcentral's name for it is "uncharacterized LOC105376159 (LOC105376159)". Lineage: Eukaryota; Metazoa; Chordata; Mammalia; Primates; Hominidae. The record is from RNAcentral.
AGAGUCAGACCUAGGCUCUCGCAGAGAACUGCAUCGCGCUCCCAGCUCUGCUGCCUCGGUGCGGGGACGGGGCUCUGCAUGAGGACUGGGAAUGUAAGUCCCGGGCCUGGACAGGCGCCCCUGGGAGCUAGCCUGGAGGAGAUUCAGUAGAAGGCUGAGGAGUCGGCUUGGAGGGUCUCGGCAAGGCGGCGCGGAUGGAGAUGAAGCUGCGAAGAAUGCUGAGAAAGAGCGGCCGGGGGCCUUGGAGGGAAGCUAGGGAAACGCUGCGGGGGCAGCCGAGGCCGUCGGCGCCCCGGGAGAAGAGACCUUCACUGCUUCUAUCAGUCACCAUAUCUGAAUCUUGGCUUGCCACUCAAUCCUCCAAUAUCGACCAACAACAGGAGAUUCUCUCUAUCUGAGGGGGGAGGUGUGUUUCCCUGACUAGACUCUAAAUACAAAUCCUCCACUUCUCCAUCUGUCUCUCCAGUGAUCUCAGAGGCAUGGUCUUAACACCGCGCACAGUUCCUUGCAAGUUGAAGAGUAGACCCAAAUGAUCAGUUCUAAAAUUCUAUUCUUAUUGAAGAUUACUGGUGGAAAUAUCAAUGCAAACAAAAUGAAAAAGUUCAACAAUGAUUAAUACUGCAUUUCAACAGAAGAAUCAAAUCAUCUUGACAAAACUUCAAUGGGCAAAAUUUGCCUUGGGGAAUUUUAUGCAGGGGAAUCCUUGGGUCUGAUGUGUGGUGGGCUUUGGAUGUGUUGUGUAGCUCAGUGUCCCUUCCUGCUACUCCUAGUCAUCUCCAGAAACUCAGACCACCCAUCUACUAAAGGCAGGUGGAUGAGCAAGGGGGCCUCGGAGGCAUUCCGGAUCACACUGAACCUGAGCCCCACCGCCUGACCCACUCAGUGUCACUGUUAACAGAAACUCGCUGCCAUCUGGCCUCAGGCCUGCCUCCUUCCUAUAGAACUUGACACUGGAAGCACCAGGCGAGCUGGACCUUCUGCUGCUACUGCACUCCCAUGAUGCAGCCUGAGAAUGAAGCCCACCAGAGUGACAGAGAGCAGACCUGAGUGGUGAGCUGGUGACACAGGGUGUGGGUGGUGUCCCUUGAGCUUCGACACCACGCCACACCUGAAACCAGCCUGACAUCCAUGAUUUUGCUUUUUUGCUUAAACCAGUCUGCGUCAUUUUCAACAAAAGAGUUCUACUAGAUAUGACAAAUUUCUCUAGAAGACCUAAGAAGUGAAAGACUUGAAGCUAUUCCAGUGGUUCAGGAACUAGGACACUGGUAGGAAACUGGAAAGAAGGCAUCAGAGUUAAGGAAAUAUUUAUGAGGUCAACUCUGGAAGUCUUGGUUACUGAGUGAAUACAGUGGCUGAGAGGAAUGGAAGCAUCCAACCAAAUAAAAAAAGAUGGUGCUGAGAUUUGGGUUAUGAGGUCAAUGACUGAAGCAAUGCGAUUAACUGAGUUAGGAGUCUCAAAUAUAGGAUGAGUGCAGAGUUGAGGAUGAAGAAUUCUGCUUUGGACACAAUGAGUGUGAGGUGCCCAAGGAUAACCCAACGGGAAGCAGUCACACCAAAGCAACAGGGUGUGCACCUGAAACUCAGAAGGGUGAUUGGGCUAUGGUGAAGAUUCCUGAUCACCCAUAAAUGAAUUCAUUAAAAGCAUGAGAGUGAGUGGAGGGGCCCCUAGAAUAUGGUGGGUGCAUGAGACUAACCCUAGAUUGGGGAUAGCUCCCUGGGAAAUCCAAGGGACAAGGUGAGGAGGAGGAGGCGGAGCCCACCAAGGAAACUAGAAAGAGACCGCUGGAGAGGUCCGAGGACAGCAAGGAGCACAGCCUUCAAGUCUGGGAGCCAACUAUCCAAGAAGAGAGUGGUUUGCUAUGGAUGCCGUGGGCCACCACGUCCCAUCUAGGAAAGCAAGUUGAGGUCUCUCUUGAAUACAUUGGGAUUGAUUACCCAGACUUUAAAGAAUCUAUGUCCCCUACUUCCCUUCAUUCACUCUGCUCUUUACCUUCUCCUCUUCCCUGGUCACCAGCACCUCUGCUAAAGGGUGGAGAAAGGAACUUCUGAUCAGUUACAGAAAAGCUUUGGGGUUACGUGGUGCAAGCUGCUCUGCCUCUGUUUGUGAAGAAAUUAGACUAUGGCCAGCCAUGUGAGUGGCAUCACUUUGGUUUCUGGAGCAAUAGUUAGUAGCAACUUUUAGAGGUGGUCAUUUCGGUUCCCUUCUGGAAAGUGAUUCGUGUUUAAGAAAAAUAGAUGCAACGUUGCUAAGUACACCUAACAUUUAAACAGUCUCCAGCAGAUAAAUGCUGAUACUGACACUUCUCACCAGAAAAAGAGAAAUACCCAUCAUGAGGAAGAGAAAUGACUUUUGUUCAGUUAUGCUCCCGGGUCCCCUUUCACUGGAGGGAUAUCUCAGCUUUCUGAGCCCCUGGUUACUGCAAUCCUCGGUUCCAGAACCCAGCAAUUCCUAUCAUCACAAUUGUUUCAAGUCUUAUCCAAGCCCUGUAUAUUUCAGAUCAUCCUUAAUUUCUUGUUCUGUACCCAGAGGAGAUCAGGAAAACCUUUAAGUCUCUAUGUGAGGCAAAUACAUCCUCCUCACUGCCCCAGCCCCAUGUGAUUGAUGAAGCAACUGAGGAAGAGAAGUAGGGUGCUUCUGGCACUGGAGGAGCGCAGUGCUGAGAAACUCCGGGCUCCAUUCGGAAAUAGCACUGAUUUCUUAGUGUACUUUUUUUUGGUGUUAAUAUAGAAAACAUCAAAAACACAGUUAAAAGAAUGAAGCAUGUCUACAUACGUGUGGCCAGAAAGACUGACCAGAAGCUGGUAGCAGUGAGGGAUGACAGUGCUUGCCCCUGGGUUGAAUAGUGGAAGAGUUAGGGGGGAAACAGUCUGCUCUUUGAGACCCUUUCAAUUUCAUGUGAUGGAUUUACAGAGACAGAUGAAUUAAACAUUAUAUAAAAAAGGAAUAAAACCACUGGUAGGAUCUGUAUUCCAGGAAGAAAAAAGCAUAUUACAUAAUAGGUCAAUGCACAGAAAUAAAAAAAGGAAUUUAACUAGA